Aedes albopictus (Asian tiger mosquito) is the source of this 655-nucleotide long non-coding RNA. RefSeq lists it as uncharacterized. The record is from RefSeq and is a predicted model, not a curated record. The transcript is spliced from 2 exons. Lineage: Eukaryota; Metazoa; Arthropoda; Insecta; Diptera; Culicidae.
UGAUAAAAUCUAUAAGUAAGACACAAGAUUUUUAUUAUUACUAAAAUAUAUUCCAAGUGCAACAGUAUAACAAGUAACCAUUCGCACAUAAAAUUUAAAAGGAAGCAAACAGAUAAGAAACCAUAAUGGCGCGCACAGGAGACGAAUGUUUUGCACGAACGCGUGCUGUCGGAUUCAAUUGACCGGCUGAAAUAAUGGAUAUACUCAAGGCAUCAGGAUCGAUCGCUUCACUAACGGUGAAAAGUGGCGAACUUUGCAGCCGAAAUAGUUUAGCUCCGUCAUGCCAACACCAGCAUCCGGUGGAUCCCCCAAAGUGCUGAAGGAACGGUGAAGUCCGCGACGGGAUCACUUAACCCUCUGGUCUUAAAUAUCUGGUAUUAUUCAUGGAAUAAAGUAAACUCGGUUGCAAAUUAUUAAAAUAUUGCAUUUAUUUACGUUUCGAAGCCAAUCCCACCUGAAAAUGGUUUUGUUAUUCGAUCCAAUAUAACCCAUACGCUGAACGAUUGAAAACCGAAAGCGACGCACAUAAAUUCUAUCAUGAUUGAAUCGACAAUGACUCAACAGCGCCGCACAUAGUUUUCAAGUGUAAAAGCAACUGGUCAUAAUCUAAAUGCAGAACUAUUAAAUUUAAUAUGUUUUUUAUUCUGAGUGUAUG